Long non-coding RNA from Onychostoma macrolepis, 2935 nucleotides. RefSeq lists it as uncharacterized. Lineage: Eukaryota; Metazoa; Chordata; Actinopteri; Cypriniformes; Cyprinidae. The record is from RefSeq and is a predicted model, not a curated record. The transcript has 3 exons.
CUUCAAUGGUUGACCUAGCGUUUCAGAAAGGCCAACAAGUCAUAAAUCACUAAAGUCAGGGUCAUUCCUGUAUCUCCAUCCAGUGUGAAAUAUCAAUCUGUGAACCACGAUGCUGGAAGUGAAAAAGGCUCCCAUUUGCAAAGAAAGUCAAAACGUAUAGUAUUUCCUCCAUGCUCUCUAUACAGCUAAUGGAAUAUAGCUAUCGGUCCAGCGCAAGGCAUAUCCUUCAUUGUCUCAUCCUACCCCACUGGAUCAAUACUAAUUGCAUGCGGUUCUGGUUUUCUUGUAAACUAAAAGGCUAUUGGCUGCUUAAAAGAAGGGGACAAUCUCUCUCACAACUGCAGCAGUAGGACCUGCCCGACAGUGGAACUAUGUCACCCUACACACCACGCUGUAUAUGACCCGUGACACCUUCGUCAGACUCUGACAUAUGUCAGUCCUCGAGUACAUUCUGGAGCCUGAGGUACAUACUGUGACAGGAAGGUGAGAAGGUGAGCAGCACUUCUCGAUCCUGGCAAAGCUAAAAUAAGGCUCCCCACUGUGAGUGCUAGCUUUUGUAAUUCGCGCGAGGACAUUGUCCUUCUCCGGCUUGCUUUUGUCGGCUUCUGUUGUCGUUGAAAGUCUGCUUUGCCCUUCUUGAAUUGAUGAUAUGUCACCACAAAAGCCUGUUAGCACAGCCCUGUUAGAGUAGACAGGUGGCUUUGCACAGGUGUUAGAUUGUGUGAAGACAGCCUGCUUGCAACUUCGAGAGUCUCUCACAUGAGCACACAAGCAACACAUGAACAAAAACAUUUGUCAGCUGGUUAGAGACAGACUUGAGAAACAAAUGAACAGCUUUAAGUGAGUAGAAGAACCUUUUUUAAGAAGUAAAUAUAGCAGCUGUUUCCUAAAGGUGUAUAUAGCACUUAGAGAAACUUGUUAAAAAAAAUCUGUUUCAAAACAGUGGUUAUUUUUGCAAAUUCAGUGUUUAUAAAGGAUGGGGUAAGGUGGCCCUCUCACCCCACCUUUAUUUUAAAUAAUUUUAUCCUAAUCUCAUCUCUCAUUUCCUCUCAUCUCCACACAUUUAUUGAAUUGUUAUGCACUUAUCAGUCUUGACUUUUUAUGUGAAUAUCCACAAUUUGAGAUCUGUCUGUCUAUCUCAAAAAUAUUCUGUUUAUGUAUGUAUGUACAUGUUAGGCCUAUUUCACUGUUAUUCAACUAAGUUGCCAAAAAUGCUUAAGUUUACAUGAAUAUUUGAUUCAUUUAAUAUUAAUGAGACGCAUGCAUUUGAUUUUUUUUAGUUUUGUGCAAUAUUUCUGUAGGUUUCUCCAUAUAAGAUAUUGAAUGAUGCAUUAUCAUCUUGCAAAAAUUCUUAAAUCUAUAUUCUAAAAUCAAAAUUUUAGCAUCUCAUUUGUCUGUAUACUGAUAUAAUUUUCCUUAAAACACAUUCUGUUUUCUUUGGUUCUACAGUCUUUAACAAUUCCAUAGCACGUUCACAAGGGGGCACUGUUGACACAUUAGCACUGCUUCCAUUUGAGAGCUGAAACUUGUCGAUCACCUACCAAUAUGCUAGAAAAUAGCUUAACAAAUGAUUCAUUUGCAAACGUUUGUUUAGAAUCCAAUGCAUCUUCAAAGACUGCUAGUGCCAUCUGCUGACUAAUUUUACUUCAGUGGCAGAAAUGCUCCGCUGAUCUGUGUUUAAAUGAGAAGGGUAAAAACAGUUUGGUUUCAAGUUGCUCUGUCGGUGGUCCUGUGCCAGAGUGACACGGAUCUUAUUAUACUGACAAAAUCUUUAAGGAUGAAGGGCAGCUUAGAGUGUCCUCAACCUAAAGCAAAGCGAGGGAUGUGUGCAAAUAACAAAUAUAAGCAACACCAGCCAGGGAUUCCCACAAAGCUCCUUUGACAUUUUGUUUGAUGUACCACUGGGUCACUUAACAUUUGCCAUGAGUGGCACUUAUCGACAAACACCUGGAUUUCCGAAGCUUUGGUUUAUUCAGGGUAUUUGUCGACUGCGAGUGCGCUAUUCAGGGGACAUGAAGGAUACGACUCCCUCUAGAACCUUGACUUCAUUGUCGUCAAUAACAGAACAGGAUAGGGACAGGCGCUGACUAACGACGUACGAACAACCAGGCGUAAACCUUGAGAGGACUGUUGCUAUUGACAAGUUAUUCAAUAUUCAAGACACCGUGGUCUUUUCAUUUUGCUUUGCUUGCUCGAAAAUGAUCGUUAAUAAUAAAAUGAGAAAAUAUAGUGCCUUGGAGACAAAGUGCCUUGUAAUCUCAUUGUGGUUCGAGAUUUUAUCAAGUCUCAAUGCUUUAUUUUUUUUAUCACCCAUUAGUACUUAAAUUUGUCUGUUUUUUCAGAUUUAAUUUUUCCAAGUGAUUUUAAGAUGCUUCAUACUACAAAGUCUUGAGAGUCUCACAAACCAGCUUGAACAGAAAUAACUUGAAUUUAGUAGUUCUCGUGAUUCUUUCAAGCUGUCAGUCUCAGGCAGCAUUCAAAGUCCUAUUUACCCAAAGCAAAUGGAAAAUCAUCAUGAUUUGCCACAGUUCCCAGAUAUUAGAAGUUUAUUAAUCACCAAAUGGAUCAUAAAAUAGAUUUUGCAUGGUGAUGUUUCUGCCAAUUAAAAAAAUAUCUAUUAAAAGUUGCGUAUUAAGCCUCAUUAUGGAUCAUUAAUAUGCAGCGAACAGCCAGGCCUAAUCAAUCAAGAUCACUACAGUUAUGAUGUCCUACUUGGAGCGAUGUGGGAAUAGAUAGCCACCAUUUUAUAAUCAUCUAGGUUCCUGUGGAAAAGUGAAACUGUCUGAGAAAUGUACAGUGCUGCAUAUCUCCAUUAAAUCAGUAUUGUCAGGCAAGUUCUCCCUGGUUUUCAUACACAGUGUUCUUGACUUCUGUGAAUUUUUUUUAUUUAGUGAUAGUAAAAAUGAUGGAUUUUUUUUUUUUUUCUUACAAACAU